AUGAGUUUGGGCAUUUUUAGUGUCUGACUCAUGUCUGGAGAUUUCUGCUAUAUUCCAGAAUCCUUUAACUUUUGUGUUUUUUCUUUCUGCCUUUGACAAUGACACACUAAUAGCUUCAGGCUUCCUACUGCCUUCUCGUGCAUAUUGCCCUCCUUUGUUUUCUGUUAGAGACAAAAUGUCAGAAUUUUAGAUGGUGGUUUUUGUGAUCAUGGCAAGAGUUAAGGAAAUUUUGGUGGAUCCAGUGAUGACUGAUUGGAGCUUCUUCAGCCUGAGUUUCCACAUUUCAUCUUUGGUUGUCUUUUGUUUCAUGAGACCACACCAUAAACUCAUACCAGGAACGAGGAAACACAUCUCUGAGAGCCACUGAACUAUCACACAUAUAAGGGAUCUGAAACACUGUGAACCAGCACACCUUUGGCUUUCCAUGAGACCUAGAUUUCUGACAGCCCACAUCUCUCUGAAAGUCUCAUCGAGUCCCCCUUGGAGCCCCUACUUCCAAUAACAACAACUCCCUUCCUCCCCAAGGCAGCCAGCCCUCACCAUGGAGCCAGCCUCCCC
Molecule: long non-coding RNA, 558 nt
Organism: Gallus gallus (chicken)
Lineage: Eukaryota; Metazoa; Chordata; Aves; Galliformes; Phasianidae
Source: Ensembl